RNAcentral lists this ribosomal RNA (264 nucleotides) under uncultured archaeon. RNAcentral's name for it is "partial 16S ribosomal RNA". It matches the Rfam family "Archaeal small subunit ribosomal RNA", at positions 748 to 1010 of the family's 1478-position model. The record is from RNAcentral.
AGGGUGUAAACGCUGCCGACUUGGUGUUGGAGGCCCUUCGGGGGCAUUCAGUGCCGGAGAGAAGUUGUUAAGUCGGCCACUUGGGGAGUACGUACCGCAAGGAUGAAACUUAAAGGAAUUGGCGGGGGAGCACCGCAACGGGAGGAGCGUGCGGUUUAAUUGGAUUCAACACCGGAAAACUCACCAAGGGCGACUGUUACAUGAAAGCCAGGCUAAUGACCUUGCUUGAUUUUCAGAGAGGAGGUGCAUGGCGUCAGUGACUGU